AAAGGAGUACUACUGUGACUACAUCCGGUUUAAAUACACUAUAUCAACAUCCAAUAUAAUACCUCUGAAAACAAUGAAUAUCAGAAAUAUGAAGAAAAAUUUCAAGCUAAAGAAAUUGCGAAGAUUUGAGUAAUAGACCGUCGACAAUAGAAGAUAAAACGGAACACAUAUUGUGACAAAACCUACAUUCCAGGUGUACGUGUUACUCAUAUUUCUUAAUACAUCAUGUAUUAUGACUUUAAACGUCCAACAUAUAAAAAACAGAGAGUACUCCUAUCUUCUUCUUACAUGAGAAACAAUAUAUCUUGCAAUUUAAUUUCACUCAAGUAUCGAUAUCAUAAAUACAAAAGUUAAAAACCUUUUAUUAAUUUAUUUGUGUGGAACCGUUACAACCAAAGCACCGAGAUGCAUCACCCACUCUUGCCCUCAUUCAUGAAACCCGCAAAUGUCUUCACCAAGGACUUAGCAUUCUCUGUGGCGGAGUUAAAGAGAUGAAACACAUGAUUCUCAUCUCUCGUCUCCACCACCUCCACUUUCCCACCCCAACCACUCCUCUCCAACACCUCCUUAUAAUACAAUCCCCUGUGCUUCAACAGAUCCUGCUCCGCCACAAAUAUCAACACUCUCUUGCACCCCAGCCCCGAUAUCCUCGGAUCACAACCCGGAUUCAUGAACGGAUCAUCCGUUCCGCUACUCCCCGGGCACGUGUAAACCCACAGCUUCUCUAUAANUCCUUGUUAAAUUUGGUUUUGUUUUGAUUCAACAUCAAAAAUUAACUACUUCAACCGUCUUCUUUUAUAUGUUUCUUUUGAAAAAUUUUGUAUUUUAAGAAAAAAAAUUUGUUGAGUAUUUAAUUUCUUUUUUUAUCACUAAUACAUACACUGCAUUAAAUGAUUUUUGUGUAGUAUAUGUGUGGUAGUCAAAAAUGAAAACUUGUAUUCUGAGGAUAUUCUUUAGAAAAACAUUCAAAAAUUUGCUUUGAAAAAAAAACAGGGACAAAUAUUUUGACACAAAUAUUUUUUUUUCAAAAAGACCAUGUAAAAAAGGGACGGAGGGAGUAUUUCGUUCUUUUUUGUUCUAUCGUUGUAUGAAAAAAUAAACUUGGAAUUAGUAAAACACGGGCUAUAUUUUGGUACUUUUCAUUUUCGGAGUUAUAGUCCUUAAAAGAUGAAUUUCUAGGCUGUUUAAUUUUCUUCCACGGUUUCAUACAUAAAUUGAUAAGGAAAAAAAAACCCCAAUCUCACUGAUACAAUUAAAUCAUUUCUUUGGAUUUUUAAUUUCUGUCGAGAGAACAAAUUUAAAAAUCCAAAUAUAUAUCCUUGCGUCAAGAUUCUGACAGAGGAUUGAUCUUUUAUGAGAAACUAUUGUUGCAGUAUCUGGUAUCUAACUAUUGUUAUCUUGCAUUCAACUCACUCUUAAAUAUAAUUUAAAGUAUUAACUCUUAAUGAUUUAAUGCGGGUUCAACUCCAACAAUAUUUGUUAUAUUUGCUUCUUAUUUUAUUUUAUAUUAUUAAAAGUAAGUUGUGUGUAUAAAACUACAAAAGAAAAUGAAUGGAGAGAGGACGUUUGCUUACAAGUUUAUUAUUAUAAAAUAUAUUAGGAGUAGUUAAGAGGAACAAAGUUCUAUGUAGUCCACAUAUUUACUGUAGUACCGUAUACCACGUAUGUUCUGCAACUAUAGAAUGGAAUAAAAACAUUGCAAAAUGUAUGAAAUUUGUUAUUUUGUGAAACCUGUGCCCUGAGGGCACAGGAUAAACAAGCCCUUGAAAAAAUUACUCAUAUUAAGAAAACAUUAUUUAGAUAUAAAUUUCUCAAUUGUAUCCCUAAUAAAUACAUGAAUGUAGACUCUUAUUUAACACACAUUAAUUGUUGCACAACUUUCAAGAAAGGCAAUUUUGAAAUAAUGUCAAUAUAUUUACAUUGGAAACUAAAAGUAAAAGUGGACAAGUAUUAUGAGGCAAAAAUUAUUUACAGAAAGAUUUUACCAAAGAUGAUGAGAAUGUGAACUCUCAACCAUUUAUGCGUUGGAGAGAUCGUUUCUUAUUUUGUGCCGAAGCAAUUUAUAAAGCACAGGCUGAAAUUGGUUAAAUCAAAAUGCAUUACUUAAACGCUACUGCGGGUACAUGUGAAGAAAGAAAGGGCUAUAUUUGCGAGAGAAUUGGAAGUUCCUACUGUAAUGAUGAUUACUUAACAGGGAGAUUCACUGCAAAUACUAAAUUAGCCCAUUAUUACCGAGAUAAUGGCCUACUUCUUCACAUCCACCGCAUAAUGCAUGCAGUUGUUGAUAGACAGAAGAAUCAUGGUAUACACUUUCGUGUACCAGCUAAAGCGUUAUGUAUUGUGGAUGAAAGGAGUACUACUGUGACUACAUCCGGUUUAAAUACACUAUAUCAACAUCCAAUAUAAUACCUCUGAAAACAAUGAAUAUCAGAAAUAUGAAGAAAAAUUUCAAGCUAAAGAAAUUGCGAAGAUUUGAGUAAUAGACCGUCGACAAUAGAAGAUAAAACGGAACACAUAUUGUGACAAAACCUACAUUCCAGGUGUACGUGUUACUCAUAUUUCUUAAUACAUCAUGUAUUAUGACUUUAAACGUCCAACAUAUAAAAAACAGAGAGUACUCCUAUCUUCUUCUUACAUGAGAAACAAUAUAUCUUGCAAUUU
RNAcentral lists this long non-coding RNA (2661 nucleotides) under Daucus carota (carrot). Its description in RNAcentral is "long non-coding RNA (DCAR_LNC006166)". The record is from RNAcentral. Lineage: Eukaryota; Viridiplantae; Streptophyta; Magnoliopsida; Apiales; Apiaceae.